GGAGAGUUUGAUCCUGGCUCAGAGUGAACGCUGGCGGCGUGGAUUAGGCAUGCAAGUCGCGCGAUUUUUCAGUUGGAGAGGUUGAAGCCGCAAGGUGGAUGCCAAUUCGUCUGAUUAAUAGCGGCAAACGGGUGAGUAACACGUGAGUAAUUUACCCUUUAAUCUGACAUAGCCUAGCGAAAGUUAGGGUAAUAUCAGAUGAUAUCUAGAGAACUUAAGUUUUUUAGAUCAAAGGCAGGGACCGUAAGGCCUGCUGUUGAAGGAUGAGCUCGCGUCCUAUCAGCUUGUUGGUAGGGUAACGGCCUACCAAGGCAUUUGACGGGUAGCUAGUCUGAGAGGAUGUUUAGCCACACUGGGACUGAGACACUGCCCAGACUCCUACGGGAGGCUGCAGUCGAGAAUCUUUAGCAAUGGGCGCAAGCCUGACUAUGCGACGCCGCGUGAGGGAUGAAGGUUUUCGGAUCGUAAACCUCUUUCGAUAGGGAAGAAACUUUCAACGUUAAUAGCGUUGAAACUGACGGUACCUAGAGAAGAAGCCACGGCCAACUCCGUGCCAGCAGCCGCGGUAAUACGGAGGUGGCGAGCGUUACUCGGAUUCAUUGGGUGUAAAGGGCAGGUAGGUGGCCUUGUAAGUGAGGGGUGAAAUCCUCCAACUUAAUUGGAGAAUGGCCUUUCAUACUGUGAGGCUUGAGACUGGAAGAGGAGAAUGGAAUUCCCGGUGUAAGGGUGAAAUCUGCAGAUAUCGGGAGGAACACCAGUGGCGAAAGCGAUUCUCCAGCUCAGUUCUGACACUGAUCUGCGAAAGCUAGGGGAGCAAACAGGAUUAGAUACCCUGGUAGUCCUAGCCGUAAACGAUGAGCACUAGGUGUUGGUUCGUAAGGAUCAGCGCCGCAGUUAACACAUUAAGUGCUCCACCUGGGGACUACGACCGCAAGGUUAAAACUCAAAGGAAUUGACGGGGGCCCGCACAAGCGGUGGAACAUGUGGUUCAAUUCGACGCUACGCGAGGAACCUUACCAGGGCUUGACAUGUAAGAAGUAGUGAACUGAAAGGGGAACGACCUGUCAAGUCAGGAACUUACACAGGUGCUGCAUGGCUGUCGUCAGCUCGUGUCGUGAGAUGUUGGGUUAAGUCCCGCAACGAGCGCAACCAUUAUUAUUAGUUGCCACUUCUUGAAGCCGAAAGGCUUUAAAGAAAGCACUCUAAUGAGACUGCCUGGGAUAACCAGGAGGAAGGUGGAGAUGACGUCAAGUCCGUAUGGCCUUUAUGCCCUGGGCUACACACGUGUUACAAUGGCUGGAACAAAGGGAUGCAAAACUGCGAAGUCAAGCUAAACUCAGAAAACCAGCCUCAGUUCGGAUUGAAGUCUGCAAUUCGACUUCAUGAAGCCGGAAUCGCUAGUAAUGGCGGAUCAGCUAUGCCGCCGUGAAUACGUUCCCGGGCCUUGUACACACCGCCCGUCAAGCGAUGGGAGCCGGGGGUACCCGAAGUCCUACGCAAGUAGGCCGAAGGUAAAACCGGUGACUGGCGCUAAGUCGUAACAAGGUAGCCGUACGGGAACGUGCGGCUGGAUCACCUCCUUUCUA
RNAcentral lists this ribosomal RNA (1586 nucleotides) under Candidatus Omnitrophota bacterium. RNAcentral's name for it is "bacterial SSU rRNA". It matches the Rfam family "Bacterial small subunit ribosomal RNA". The record is from RNAcentral. Lineage: Bacteria; Pseudomonadati; Candidatus Omnitrophota.